GUUUCUGUAGUGUAGUGGUUAUCACGUUUGCCUCACACGCAGAAGGUCCCCGGUUCGAAACCGGGGGCGGGGAAA
Odocoileus virginianus texanus is the source of this 75-nucleotide non-coding RNA. Lineage: Eukaryota; Metazoa; Chordata; Mammalia; Artiodactyla; Cervidae. The record is from the annotation of a RefSeq genome assembly.